This 466-nucleotide ribosomal RNA is filed under the name uncultured bacterium. Its description in RNAcentral is "bacterial SSU rRNA". It matches the Rfam family "Bacterial small subunit ribosomal RNA", at positions 338 to 795 of the family's 1533-position model. The record is from RNAcentral.
CCUACGGGGGGCAGCAGUGGGGAAUCUUGCGCAAUGGACGAAAGUCUGACGCAGCCACGCCGCGUGAGUGAAGAAGGCCUUCGGGUUGUAAAGCUCUGUCGGAAGGGACAAAAACCAUUAUGGUGAAUAGCCAUAGUGCUUGAUGGUACCUUUAAAGGAAGCACCGGCUAACUUCGUGCCAGCAGCCGCGGUAAUACGAAGGGUGCAAGCGUUGCUCGGAAUUAUUGGGCGUAAAGGGUAGGUAGGUGGUUGCGUAUGUCUGAGGUGAAAUCCCCGAGCUUAACUUGGGAAGUGCCUUGGAAACGGCGUAACUAGAGUGCUGGAGAGGUUCGUAGAAUUCCCGGUGUAGCGGUGAAAUGCGUAGAGAUCGGGAGGAAUACCAGAGGCGAAAGCGACGAACUGGACAGUUACUGACACUCAACUACGAAAGCGUGGGGAGCAAACAGGAUUAGAUACCCUUGUAGUC